RNAcentral lists this ribosomal RNA (506 nucleotides) under uncultured bacterium. Its description in RNAcentral is "partial 16S ribosomal RNA". It matches the Rfam family "Bacterial small subunit ribosomal RNA", at positions 29 to 523 of the family's 1533-position model. The record is from RNAcentral.
AGUGAACGCUGGCGGUAGGCCUAACACAUGCAAGUCGAACGGCAGCACAGGAGAGCUUGCUCUCUGGGUGGCGAGUGGCGGACGGGUGAGGAAUACAUCGGAAUCUACUCUGUCGUGGGGGAUAACGUAGGGAAACUUACGCUAAUACCGCAUACGACCUACGGGUGAAAGCAGGGGACCUUCGGGCCUUGCGCGAUUGAAUGAGCCGAUGUCGGAUUAGCUAGUUGGCGGGGUAAAGGCCCACCAAGGCGACGAGCCGUAGCUGGUCUGAGCGGAUGAUCAGCCACACUGGAACUGAGACACGGUCCAGACUCCUACGGGAGGCAGCAGUGGUGAAUAUUGGACAAUGGGCGCAAGCCUGAUCCAGCCAUACCGCGUGGGUGAAGAAGGCCUUCGGGUUGUAAAGCCCUUUUGUUGGGAAAGAAAUCCAGCUGGCUAAUACCCGGUUGGGAUGACGGUACCCAAAGAAUAAGCACCGGCUAACUUCGUGCCAGCCGCCGCCGUAA